UACGUAGGGACCAAGCGUUGUUCGGAUUUACUGGGCGUAAAGGGCGCGUAGGCGGCUUAACAAGUCACUUGUGAAAUCUCCGGGCUUAACUCGGAACGGCCAAGUGAAACUGUCAAGCUAGAGUGCGGAAGGGGCAAUCGGAAUUCUUGGUGUAGCGGUGAAAUGCGUAGAUAUCAAGAGGAACACCUGAGGUGAAGACGGGUUGCUGGGCCGACACUGACGCUGAUGCGCGAAAGCCAGGGGAGCAAACGGG
This 253-nucleotide ribosomal RNA is filed under the name uncultured bacterium. RNAcentral's name for it is "partial 16S ribosomal RNA". It matches the Rfam family "Bacterial small subunit ribosomal RNA", at positions 524 to 776 of the family's 1533-position model. The record is from RNAcentral. RNAcentral also lists the same sequence under 1 other name.